This 73-nucleotide transfer RNA is filed under the name Streptococcus pneumoniae. RNAcentral's name for it is "tRNA-Leu". It matches the Rfam family "tRNA". Rfam says of the family: Transfer RNA (tRNA) molecules are approximately 80 nucleotides in length. Their secondary structure includes four short double-helical elements and three loops (D, anti-codon, and T loops). The record is from RNAcentral. Lineage: Bacteria; Bacillati; Bacillota; Bacilli; Lactobacillales; Streptococcaceae.
GGGAGUUUAGCUCAGCUGGAGAGCAUCUGGCCUUAGAAGCAGAGGUCCAAGCGGUUCGAUCCCGUUACUCCCA